AGCAAAAUGAUGUUGUUCUUUAGUCUGAAACUCGAGAUGUGGAAAUCAUAUAAACAAUGGUCUUCAAAGUUCUGUGAUUGCU
Camellia sinensis is the source of this 82-nucleotide small nucleolar RNA. RefSeq annotates it as small nucleolar RNA R160. The record is from RefSeq and is a predicted model, not a curated record. NCBI's taxonomy places the organism in Eukaryota, Viridiplantae, Streptophyta, Magnoliopsida, Ericales, Theaceae.